AUUGAACGCUGGCGGAAUGCUUUACACAUGCAAGUCGAACGGUAGAGGGGGCAACCCCUCGAGAGUGGCGAACGGGUGAGUAAUAUAUCGGAACGUGCCCAGUCGUGGGGGAUAACGUAGCGAAAGUUACGCUAAUACCGCAUACGAUCUAAGGAUGAAAGCGGGGGAUCGCAAGACCUCGCGCGAUUGGAGCGGCCGAUAUCAGAUUAGGUAGUUGGUGGGGUAAAGGCUCACCAAGCCAACGAUCUGUAGCUGGUCUGAUAGGACGACCAGCCACACGGGAACUGAGGCACGGUCCAGACUCCUACGGGAGGCAGCAGUGGGGAAUUUUGGACAAUGGACGCAAGUCUGAUCCAGCCAUUCCGCGUGCAGGAUGAAGGCCCUCGGGUUGUAAACUGCUUUUGUACGGAACGAAAAGGUCUCUCUUAAUACGGGGGGCUCAUGACGGUACCGUAAGAAUAAGCACCGGCUAACUACGUGCCAGCCGCCGCAGUAA
RNAcentral lists this ribosomal RNA (496 nucleotides) under uncultured bacterium. RNAcentral describes it as "partial 16S ribosomal RNA". It matches the Rfam family "Bacterial small subunit ribosomal RNA", at positions 30 to 523 of the family's 1533-position model. The record is from RNAcentral.